AUUGAACGCUGGCGGCAUGCUUUACACAUGCAAGUCGAACGGUAACAGGCCUUCGGGUGCUGACGCGUGGCGAACGGGUGAGUAAGGCAUCGGAACGUACCCAGAGGUGGGGGAUAACGCAGCGAAAGCUGUGCUAAUACCGCAUGUGAUCUGAGGAUGAGAGCGGAGGACCGAGCAGCAAUGUUUGGCCUCGCGCCUUUGGAGCGGCCGAUGUCGGAUUAGCUAGUUGGGGGGGUAAAGGCCUACCAAGGCGACGAUCCGUAGCUGGUGUGAGAGGACGACAACCGACCUGGGGACUGAGCCAGCCCCCAGAGUCCUGCGGUACGGAGCAGUGGGGUAUUGUGGACAGCGGUCGCGAGCAUGAUCCAGCGAUGGCGCGUGUGGGAAGAAGGCCCUCGGGUUGUAAUCCGGUUCUUGCAGGAACGAAACGGUUUCCGCUAAUACCGGGCGCUAAUGACGGUACCUGCAGAAUAAGCACCGGCUAACUACGUG
RNAcentral lists this ribosomal RNA (492 nucleotides) under uncultured bacterium. RNAcentral describes it as "partial 16S ribosomal RNA". It matches the Rfam family "Bacterial small subunit ribosomal RNA", at positions 28 to 507 of the family's 1533-position model. The record is from RNAcentral.